CCUACGGGAGGCAGCAGUGGGGAAUAUUGCACAAUGGGGGAAACCCUGAUGCAGCGACGCCGCGUGAGUGAAGAAGUAAUUCGUUACGUAAAGCUCUAUCAGCAGGGAAGAAAAACUGACCUUACGGUCAGCCGACGGUACCUGAGUAAGAAGCCCCGGCUAACUACGUGCCAGCAGCCGCGGUCAUACGUAGGGGGCAAGCGUUAUCCGGAUUUACUGGGUGUAAAGGGAGCGUAGACGGUGCGCCAAGUCUGGAGUGAAAGGCCGCAGCUUAACUGGGGAGCUGCAUUGGAAACUGGCGAACUAGAGUGCGGGAGGGGAGAGCGGAAUUCCUAGUGUAGCGGUGAAAUGCGUAGAUAUUAGGAGGAACACCGGUGGCGAAGGCGGCUUACUGGACCGUAACUGACGUUGAGGCUCGAAAGCGUGGGGAGCAAACAGGAUUAGAUACCCUAGUAGUC
This 458-nucleotide ribosomal RNA is filed under the name uncultured bacterium. RNAcentral describes it as "partial 16S ribosomal RNA". It matches the Rfam family "Bacterial small subunit ribosomal RNA", at positions 338 to 795 of the family's 1533-position model. The record is from RNAcentral.